UAGCAGAAUAGAUACAUGAUCUCCCUGGUU
Molecule: non-coding RNA, 30 nt
Filed under: Rattus norvegicus (Norway rat)
Lineage: Eukaryota; Metazoa; Chordata; Mammalia; Rodentia; Muridae
Source: RNAcentral